RNAcentral lists this unclassified non-coding RNA (222 nucleotides) under Hevea brasiliensis (rubber tree). The record is from RNAcentral. Lineage: Eukaryota; Viridiplantae; Streptophyta; Magnoliopsida; Malpighiales; Euphorbiaceae.
AAACUUUCUUCUGAACCAUAUUGUCCAGAAUGGUAGAAGCACUUCUGCAAAAACUGCUCCAUCUUUUCAGUGCAAUUUUCCCUCUCACCUACUCUGCAGGUCAGAGUUUCGCUAAUCAUAUUCCUGAGCUCCUCAUCAGUUAAUUUACUACGAGCAUAACCGAAAACUGUAAAAUGCUUAGGAAGACAGUCUGCAUAAUAAAGAGAAAAAAGUGCUGGAAAG